This 483-nucleotide long non-coding RNA is filed under the name Anser brachyrhynchus (Pink-footed goose). RNAcentral describes it as "lncRNA (ENSABRG00000012865.1)". The record is from RNAcentral. Lineage: Eukaryota; Metazoa; Chordata; Aves; Anseriformes; Anatidae.
CUUGUAUGUAGUGUGGCUGGUCUCACAUACCUAUAUAUACAUUUUAUUUCUUAAAUGGAAACUAUUUUUAUUUGUCUCUGCUGGUAAAGGCUUUUAUACUUUGAUGUUCGUCAAAGCUCUGUAGAGAAUGAUAAGACAUCAGCUAGACCUUUUAACAUUGCUCUGGAGAUGCUGUAGGAGAGCCACCAUUGCCAGCUGUACGUUCACACUGAUUUGGCAGUCUUUAGAUGCUUUCAGUACCCUGGCAAAGCUUUUCUGGUGUUUCUGGAGGAUACGCAUCAUAAUGACAGGAAAAUAAGCCAGAACAAUUUAAGGAUCCGGGUAUAUAAUAAUAACCCAGAAAUGAAUCAGAGUCAAGGCAGACACCUUUUUAUCAGUGGACCAGCUCUUCUCCAGCAAAAUUAUCCAGUCAGGUUUGAAUAUUAGAGUAGUUCUCUCUUUACUCUUUUUCUGUGGUUUCCUUAUGGGGAUGUCAUAUAAGAU